AACCAACAGGGAUUGCCUUAGUAGCGAGCGAGUGAAGCGGCAAAAGCUCAAAUUUGAAAUCUGGCACUUUCAGUGUCCGAGUUGUAAUUUGAAGAAGGUAUCUUUGGGUCUGGCUCUUGUCUAUGUUUCUUGGAACAGAACGUCACAGAGGGUGAGAAUCCCGUGCGAUGAGAUGUCCCAGACCUAUGUAAAGUUCCUUCGAAGAGUCGAGUUGUUUGGGAAUGCAGCUCUAAGUGGGUGGUAAAUUCCAUCUAAAGCUAAAUAUUGGCGAGAGACCGAUAGCGAACAAGUACAGUGAUGGAAAGAUGAAAAGAACUUUGAAAAGAGAGUGAAAAAGUACGUGAAAUUGUUGAAAGGGAAGGGCUUGAGAUCAGACUUGGUAUUUUGUAUGUUACUCUCUCGGGGGUGGCCUCUACAGUUUACCGGGCCAGCAUCAGUUUGAGCGGUAGGAUAAGUGCAAAGAAAUGUGGCACUGCUUCGGUAGUGUGUUAUAGUCUUUGUCGAUACUGCCAGCUUAGACUGAGGACUGCGGCUUCGGCCUAGGAUGUUGGCAUAAUGAUCUUAAGUCCCCGC
RNAcentral lists this ribosomal RNA (573 nucleotides) under Lodderomyces parapsilosis. RNAcentral describes it as "Candida parapsilosis partial large subunit ribosomal RNA". It matches the Rfam family "Eukaryotic large subunit ribosomal RNA", at positions 63 to 652 of the family's 3401-position model. The record is from RNAcentral. Lineage: Eukaryota; Fungi; Ascomycota; Pichiomycetes; Serinales; Debaryomycetaceae.